UCAGUAGGCGGUGUGGCAAGUCGGGAGUGAAAUCUAUGGGCUUAACCCAUAGGCUGCUUCCGAAACUGCCAUGCUUGAGUGUGGGAGAGGCGCGUGGAAUUGCAGGUGUAGCGGUGAAAUGCGUAGAUAUCUGCAGGAACACCCGUGGCGAAAGCGGCGCGCUGGACCACAACUGACGCUGAAUGACGAAAGCUAGGGGAGCAAACAGGAUUAGAUACCCUGGUAGUCCUAGCCCUAAACGAUCAGGACUUGGGGUGCCGCACGUUCGUGCGUCGUCCCGGAGCUAACGCGUUAAGUCCUGCACCUGGGGAGUACGGUCGCAAGACUGAA
RNAcentral lists this ribosomal RNA (330 nucleotides) under uncultured bacterium. Its description in RNAcentral is "bacterial SSU rRNA". It matches the Rfam family "Bacterial small subunit ribosomal RNA", at positions 568 to 898 of the family's 1533-position model. The record is from RNAcentral.